Molecule: ribosomal RNA, 821 nt
Filed under: bacterium
Lineage: Bacteria
Description: bacterial SSU rRNA
Rfam family: Bacterial small subunit ribosomal RNA
Source: RNAcentral
CCUAACACAUGCAAGUCGAGCGGUAACAGAAAGUAGCUUGCUACUUGCUGACGAGCGGCGGACGGGUGAGUAAUGCUUGGGAACAUGCCUUGAGGUGGGGGACAACAGUUGGAAACGACUGCUAAUACCGCAUAAUGUCUACGGACCAAAGGGGGCUUCGGCUCUCGCCUUUAGAUUGGCCCAAGUGGGAUUAGCUAGUUGGUGAGGUAAUGGCUCACCAAGGCGACGAUCCCUAGCUGGUUUGAGAGGAUGAUCAGCCACACUGGGACUGAGACACGGCCCAGACUCCUACGGGAGGCAGCAGUGGGGAAUAUUGCACAAUGGGCGCAAGCCUGAUGCAGCCAUGCCGCGUGUGUGAAGAAGGCCUUCGGGUUGUAAAGCACUUUCAGUCAGGAGGAAAGGUUAGUAGUUAAUACCUGCUAGCUGUGACGUUACUGACAGAAGAAGCACCGGCUAACUCCGUGCCAGCAGCCGCGGUAAUACGGAGGGUGCGAGCGUUAAUCGGAAUUACUGGGCGUAAAGCGUACGCAGGCGGUUUGUUAAGCGAGAUGUGAAAGCCCCGGGCUCAACCUGGGAACUGCAUUUCGAACUGGCAAACUAGAGUGUGAUAGAGGGUGGUAGAAUUUCAGGUGUAGCGGUGAAAUGCGUAGAGAUCUGAAGGAAUACCGAUGGCGAAGGCAGCCACCUGGGUCAACACUGACGCUCAUGUACGAAAGCGUGGGGAGCAAACGGGAUUAGAUACCCCGGUAGUCCACGCCGUAAACGAUGUCUACUAGAAGCUCGGAGCCUCGGUUCUGUUUUUCAAAGCUAACGCAUUAAGU